RNAcentral lists this ribosomal RNA (220 nucleotides) under uncultured fungus. RNAcentral's name for it is "partial 18S ribosomal RNA". The stretch from base 47 to 220 matches the Rfam family "Eukaryotic small subunit ribosomal RNA", at positions 692 to 867 of the family's 1831-position model. The record is from RNAcentral. Lineage: Eukaryota; Fungi.
GGGUCUAUCCGUCGGUCGGGCUUUUGGGUCUGUACUGGCGUGAUGGAUUCCUACCUUCUGAAUAACCGGCAUGCCAUUAAUUUGGUGCGCUGGGGAAGCAGGACUGUUACCUUGAAAAAUUAGAGUGCUUAAAGCAGGCUUGGGCCUGAAUACAUUAGCAUGGAAUAAUGAAAUAGGACGGCUUGGUUCUAUUUUGUUGGUUUCUAGGAUCACCGUAAUG